Molecule: unclassified non-coding RNA, 149 nt
Organism: Callithrix jacchus (white-tufted-ear marmoset)
Lineage: Eukaryota; Metazoa; Chordata; Mammalia; Primates; Cebidae
Rfam family: Metazoan signal recognition particle RNA
About the family: The signal recognition particle (SRP) is a universally conserved ribonucleoprotein. It is involved in the co-translational targeting of proteins to membranes.
Source: Ensembl
GCUGGGCACGGUGGCGCGUGCCUGUAAUCCCAGCUACUCAGGAGGCUGAGGCAGGAGAAUUGCCUGAACCCAGGAGGUGGAGGUUGCAGUGAGCCGAGAUCACGCCAUUGCACUCCAGCCUGGGUAACAAGAGCAAAACUCUGUCUCAA